RNAcentral lists this unclassified non-coding RNA (217 nucleotides) under Melitaea cinxia (Glanville fritillary). Its description in RNAcentral is "misc RNA ENSMCXG00005017226.1". Lineage: Eukaryota; Metazoa; Arthropoda; Insecta; Lepidoptera; Nymphalidae. The record is from RNAcentral.
GUACGCUCUAUAGAUGAUGAAAACGUGUUCAAAUAAUGUAUCUUUAGAAAUCAACUCCCUUUUGGGGUUAAAAUGGGGGAUGGUAGGUUGACUCACUAAUCACGAAAUUUCCGAAACUAUAACACCUACAAACUUGAAAUUUGGCAAGUAAGCUCCUUAUAAGGCGUAGACAUCCGUUAAGAACGGGUUUUACGAAAUUCGACCCCUAAGGGGGUAA